RNAcentral lists this ribosomal RNA (518 nucleotides) under uncultured Chloroflexota bacterium. RNAcentral describes it as "bacterial SSU rRNA". It matches the Rfam family "Bacterial small subunit ribosomal RNA", at positions 363 to 896 of the family's 1533-position model. The record is from RNAcentral. Lineage: Bacteria; Bacillati; Chloroflexota.
CUUGCACAAUGGGCGCAAGCCUGGUGCAGCAACGCCGCGUGCGCGAUGAAGGCCUUCGGGUCGUAAAGCGCUUUUCUGGAGGAUGAGCAAGGACAGUACUCCAGGAAUAAGUCUCGGCUAACUACGUGCCAGCAGCCGCGGUAAAACGUAGGAGACAAGCGUUAUCCGAAUUUACUGGGCGUAAAGCGCGUGCAGGUGGUUAGGUAAGUGGCGUGUGAAAUCUCCUGGCUCAACUGGGAGAGGCUGCGCCAAACUGCCUGACUAGAGGGCGGUAGAGGGAGGUGGAAUUCCCGGUGUAGUGGUGAAAUGCGUAGAUAUCGGGAGGAACACCUGUGGCGAAAGCGGCCUCCUGGACCGUACCUGACGCUCAGACGCGAAAGCUAGGGGAGUGAACGGGAUUAGAAACCCCGGUAAUCCUAGCCGUAAACGAUGUGGACUGGGUGUCGGUGGGGUAAAAGCCAUCGGUGCCGAAGUCAACGCGAUAAGUCCACCGCCUGGGGACUACGGCCGCAAGGUUA